This 191-nucleotide non-coding RNA is filed under the name Tritonibacter multivorans. The record is from RNAcentral. Lineage: Bacteria; Pseudomonadati; Pseudomonadota; Alphaproteobacteria; Rhodobacterales; Paracoccaceae.
UCUAUAUAGUGGUGCUUCGGUUCUUCCGGGAUGCCCUGGGAGCUGAGAGGGAAGCCGGUGAAAAUCCGGCGCUGCCCCCGCAACUGUUAGUGGUGAGCAAUGCCGGAAAAGCCACUGGGACAAGGGUCCUGGGAAGGUCGGCGGCGCGUGAAGCCACGAGUCAGGAGACCUGCCGCAAGCAUGGAAUAACC